This 724-nucleotide ribosomal RNA is filed under the name Vibrio sp. J312. RNAcentral describes it as "bacterial SSU rRNA". It matches the Rfam family "Bacterial small subunit ribosomal RNA", at positions 56 to 756 of the family's 1533-position model. The record is from RNAcentral. Lineage: Bacteria; Pseudomonadati; Pseudomonadota; Gammaproteobacteria; Vibrionales; Vibrionaceae.
UGCUAGUCGAGCGGAAACGACAUUAUUGAAUCUUCGGAGGAUUUAAUGGGCGUCUAGCGGCGGACGGGUGAGUAAUGCCUAGGAAAUUGCCUUGAUGUGGGGGAUAACCAUUGGAAACGAUGGCUAAUACCGCAUAAUGCCUACGGGCCAAAGAGGGGGAUCUUCGGACCUCUCGCGUCAAGAUAUGCCUAGGUGGGAUUAGCUAGUUGGUGAGGUAAUGGCUCACCAAGGCGACUGAUCCCUAGCUGGUCUGAGAGGAUGAUCAGCCACACUGGAACUGAGACACGGUCCAGACUCCUACGGGAGGCAGCUAGUGGGGAAUAUUGCACAAUGGGCGAAAGCCUGAUGCAGCCAUGCCGCGUGUAUGAAGAAGGCCUUCGGGUUGUAAAGUACUUUCAGUUGUGAGGAAGGGGGUAGUGUUAAUAGCGCUAUCUCUUGACGUUAGCAACAGAAGAAGCACCGGCUAACUCCGUGCCAGCAGCCGCGGUAAUACGGAGGGUGCGAGCGUUAAUCGGAAUUACUGGGCGUAAAGCGCAUGCAGGUGGUUCAUUAAGUCAGAUGUGAAAGCCCGGGGCUCAACCUCGGAACUGCAUUUGAAACUGGUGAACUAGAGUGCUGUAGAGGGGGGUAGAAUUUCAGGUGUAGCGGUGAAAUGCGUAGAGAUCUGAAGGAAUACCAGUGGCGAAGGCGGGCCCCCUGGACAGUCACUUACCCUCAUAUUCCU